RNAcentral lists this ribosomal RNA (1413 nucleotides) under uncultured Bacteroidota bacterium. RNAcentral's name for it is "uncultured Bacteroidetes bacterium 16S ribosomal RNA". It matches the Rfam family "Bacterial small subunit ribosomal RNA". Lineage: Bacteria; Pseudomonadati; Bacteroidota. The record is from RNAcentral.
AGAGUUUGAUCCUGGCUCAGGACGAACGCUGGCGGCGGGCUUAACACAUGCAAGUCGAAGGAGAAGGCGAGUGCUUGCACUUGCCGGAGACUGGCGCACGGGUGAGUAACGCGUAGACAACCUGCCUAUAACUGGGGGAUAACAUACCGAAAGGUGUGCUAAUACCGCAUAUUGCCAACGCCUCGCAUGAGGGGUUGGUGAAAGACUUCGGUUGGUUAUAGAUGGGUCUGCGUGCCAUUAGUUAGUUGGUGGGGUAAAAGCCUACCAAGGCGAUGAUGGCUAGGGGGUCUGAGAGGAUGAUCCCCCACACUGGGACCGAGACACGGCCCAGACUCCUACGGGAGGCAGCAGUGAGGAAUCUUGCGCAAUGGGGGUAACCCUGACGCAGCCACGCCGCGUGCCGGAAGACGGCCCUAUGGGUUGUAAACGGCUUUUACAUGGGAAGAAAGUGCAGGUUUCGACCAGCAUUGACGGUACCAUUUGAAUAAGCACCGGCUAACUCCGUGCCAGCAGCCGCGGUAAUACGGAGGGUGCAAGCGUUGUCCGGAAUCAUUGGGUGUAAAGGGUGCGUAGGCUGGCGCCUAAGUCUGAGGUGAAAUCUUGCCGCUUAACGGUAAAAUUGCCUUGGAUACUGGGUGUCUUGAAUCUGACAGAGGUCGGUGGAAUUCGUGGUGUAGCGGUGAAAUGCAUAGAUAUCACGAAGAACAUCAGUGGCGAAGGCGGCCGGCUGGGUCAGUAUUGACGCUGAGGCACGAGAGCGUGGGGAGCGAACAGGAUUAGAUACCCUGGUUAGUCCACGCUGUGAACGAUGUAUGCUAGUGUUGGGCCUUCGGGUUUGGGGGUACCGUGACGCAGUAACGCAAGUAGCAUACCCCCCUGGGGAGUACGUUCGCAAGAAUGAAACUCAAAGGAAUUGACGGGGGCCCGCACAAGCGGUGGAGCAUGUGGCUUAAUUCGAUGCUAAGAGAAGAACCUUACCCGGGCUAAAUCUCCGGCGACCGGUCCCGAAACGGACCUUCCCUUCGGGGCGCCGGCGAAGGUGCUGCAUGGCUGUCGUCAGCUCGUGCCGUGAGGUGUUGCCUUAAGUGGCGCAACGAGCGCAACCCCUGUGGUUAGUUACCAGCACGUAAUGGUGGGGACUCUAGCCAGACUGCCUACGCAAGUAGUGAGGAAGGUGGGGACGACGUCAAGUCAUCAUGGCCCUUAUGUCCGGGGCUGCACACGUGCUACAAUGGAUGGUACAGAGGGAAGCCACCCCGCGAGGGGGUGCAGAUCUCGAAAGCCAUUCCCAGUUCGGAUUGGAGUCUGCAACUCGACUCCAUGAAGGUGGAAUCGCUAGUAAUCGCGUAUCAGCAAUGACGCGGUGAAUACGUUCCCGGGCCUUGUACACACCGCCCGUCAAGCGAUGGAAGU